This 412-nucleotide long non-coding RNA is filed under the name Gossypium raimondii (Peruvian cotton). RNAcentral describes it as "long non-coding RNA (GRAI_LNC009504)". The record is from RNAcentral. Lineage: Eukaryota; Viridiplantae; Streptophyta; Magnoliopsida; Malvales; Malvaceae.
UUUUGGAUAAUUUUGAUUUUUUAUUUGAGAGUAAAGGGUGAGAAGUAAAAGUUUAGGGGGAAAAUAAAAAGUUUUGGGGAAUAAAAGUUUGAGGGAAAGUAAAUAGGGAGAGUAAAAUUUUGGAGGGAAAAUAUUAAAAAAAAAUUGGAGGGGGGAGGGUUUGGGGUAGAUGGGAGGUGGGAUGGGAAGAGAAUAAAAGUUUUAGGGGAAAAUGGGAGGGAGUAAAAAUUUUGGGGGAAAAUAAAAGGUUUUAAGGGUUUUGGGAGUAAAAUUUUGAGAAAAAGUAAAUGGAAAAGUAAAAUUUUGGUGGGAAAUGGAUUUUGGGUAGAUUGGGGGGUUGGGAGGGGAGGGGAGUAAAAGUUUCGGGGGGAAAGUGGGAAGGAGUAAAAGUUUUGAGGGAAAAGUAUAAAAG